CAGCCGCGCGGGAAUACGGAGGGGGCUAGCGUUGUUCGGAAUUACUGGGCGUAAAGCGCACGUAGGCGGCUUUGCAAGUCAGAGGUGAAAGCCCGGGGCUCAACUCCGGAAUAGCCUUUGAGACUGCAUCGCUUGAACACGGGAGAGGUGAGUGGAAUUCCGAGUGUAGAGGUGAAAUUCGUAGAUAUUCGGAAGAACACCAGUGGCGAAGGCGGCUCACUGGACCGUUGUUGACGCUGAGGUGCGAAAGCGUGGGGAGCAAACAGGAUUAGAUACCCCUGUAGUCCCUGUCUCUUAUACA
This 301-nucleotide ribosomal RNA is filed under the name uncultured bacterium. RNAcentral's name for it is "partial 16S ribosomal RNA". It matches the Rfam family "Bacterial small subunit ribosomal RNA", at positions 509 to 808 of the family's 1533-position model. The record is from RNAcentral.